UGUCCGGUAGCUCAGUCGGUUAAGAGCGCCGCUCUGAUACAGCGGAGGCCGGCGGUUCAAUCCCGCCCCGGACGA
This 75-nucleotide transfer RNA is filed under the name Actinomycetota bacterium. Its description in RNAcentral is "Actinobacteria bacterium tRNA-Ile". It matches the Rfam family "tRNA". From Rfam's summary of the family: Transfer RNA (tRNA) molecules are approximately 80 nucleotides in length. Their secondary structure includes four short double-helical elements and three loops (D, anti-codon, and T loops). Lineage: Bacteria; Bacillati; Actinomycetota. The record is from RNAcentral.